This 254-nucleotide ribosomal RNA is filed under the name uncultured bacterium. RNAcentral describes it as "partial 16S ribosomal RNA". It matches the Rfam family "Bacterial small subunit ribosomal RNA", at positions 524 to 776 of the family's 1533-position model. The record is from RNAcentral.
UACGUAGGGGGCAAGCGUUAUCCAGAUUUACUGGGCGUAAAGCGCGUGUAGGCGGCUGGUUAGGUGUGAUGUGAAAUCUUCCGGCUCAACCGGAAAACUGCAUUGCAAACCGGCCUGGCUAGAGUGCAGGAGAGGGAAGCGGAAUUCCAGGUGUAGCGGUGAAAUGCGUAGAUAUCUGGAGGAACACCGGUGGCGAAGGCGGCAUCCUGGACCAAUAUUGACGCUGAGGAGCGAAAGCCAGGGGAGCAAACGGG